AACGAACGCUGGCGGCAUGCCUAACACAUGCAAGUCGAACGAGACCUUCGGGUCUUGUGGCGCACGGGUGCGUAACGCGUGGGAACCUGCCCUUAGGUUCGGAAUAACUCCCCGAAAGGGGUGCUAAUACCGGCUAAUGUCUUCGGACCAAAGAUUUAUUGCCUUUGGAUGGGCCCGCGUUGGAUUAGCUAGUUGGUAGGGUAAAAGCCUACCAAGGCGACGAUCCAUAGCUGGUCUGAGAGGAUGAUCAGCCACACUGGGACUGAGACACGGCCCAGACUCCUACGGGAGGCAGCAGUGGGGAAUAUUGGACAAUGGGCGAAAGCCUGAUCCAGCAAUGCCGCGUGAGUGAUGAAGGCCUUAGGGUUGUAAAGCUCUUUUACCCGGGAUGAUAAUGACAGUACCGGGAGAAUAAGCUCCGGCUAACUCCGUG
RNAcentral lists this ribosomal RNA (433 nucleotides) under uncultured bacterium. RNAcentral describes it as "partial 16S ribosomal RNA". It matches the Rfam family "Bacterial small subunit ribosomal RNA", at positions 29 to 507 of the family's 1533-position model. The record is from RNAcentral.